This 332-nucleotide unclassified non-coding RNA is filed under the name soil metagenome. RNAcentral's name for it is "partial contains 5.8S ribosomal RNA, internal transcribed spacer 2, and large subunit ribosomal RNA". The stretch from base 1 to 120 matches the Rfam family "5.8S ribosomal RNA", at positions 35 to 154 of the family's 154-position model. The record is from RNAcentral.
GAUGAAGAACGUAGCAAAAUGCGAUAAGUAAUGUGAAUUGCAGAAUUCAGUGAAUCAUCGAAUCUUUGAACGCACAUUGCGCCCGCCAGUAUUCUGGCGGGCAUGCCUGUUCGAGCGUCAUUUCAACCCUCAAGCACAGCUUGGUGUUGGGACUCGCGUUAAUUCGCGUUCCCCAAAUUGAUUGGCGGUCACGUCGAGCUUCCAUAGCGUAGUAGUAAAACCCUCGUUACUGGUAAUCGUCGCGGCCACGCCGUAAAACCCCAACUUCUGAAUGUUGACCUCGGAUCAGGUAGGAAUACCCGCUGAACUUAAGCAUAUCAAUAAGCGGAGGA